Molecule: ribosomal RNA, 414 nt
Filed under: uncultured bacterium
Lineage: Bacteria
Description: bacterial SSU rRNA
Rfam family: Bacterial small subunit ribosomal RNA
Source: RNAcentral
UAUUGGUCAAUGGGCUAAGGCCUGAACCAGCCAAGUCGCGUGAGGGAAGACGGUCCUAUGGAUUGUAAACCUCUUUUGUCGGGGAACAAAGGCGCCCACGGGUGGGCGGAUGAGUGUACCCGAAGAAAAAGCAUCGGCUAACUCCGUGCCAGCAGCCGCGGUAAUACGGAGGAUGCGGGCGUUAUCCGGAUUUAUUGGGUUUAAAGGGUGCGUAGGCGGACGGUCAAGUCAGCGGUAAAAAUGCGGUGCUCAACGCCGUACAGCCGUUGAAACUGGCAGUCUUGUGGGCGAGAAGUAUGCGGAAUGCGUGGUGUAGCGGUGAAAUGCAUAGAUAUCACGCAGAACUCCGAUUGCGGAGGCAGCAUACCGGCGCCCUACUGACGCUGAGGCACGAAAGCGUGGGUAUCGAACAGG